Molecule: ribosomal RNA, 253 nt
Filed under: uncultured bacterium
Lineage: Bacteria
Description: partial 16S ribosomal RNA
Rfam family: Bacterial small subunit ribosomal RNA
Source: RNAcentral
UACGAAGGGGGCUAGCGUUGUUCGGAAUUACUGGGCGUAAAGCGUGCGCAGGCGGCUUCUCAAGUCAGGGGUGAAAGCCCAGAGCUCAACUCUGGAAUUGCCUUUGAGACUGAGUGGCUCGAGUACGAGAGAGGUGAGUGGAAUUCCCAGUGUAGAGGUGAAAUUCGUAGAUAUUGGGAAGAACACCGGUGGCGAAGGCGGCUCACUGGCUCGUAACUGACGCUCAUGCACGACAGCGUGGGGAUCAAACAGG